Molecule: ribosomal RNA, 229 nt
Filed under: uncultured bacterium
Lineage: Bacteria
Description: partial 16S ribosomal RNA
Rfam family: Bacterial small subunit ribosomal RNA
Source: RNAcentral
CGCGCAGGCGGCCUUUUAAGUUGGAUGUGAAAGCCUAUGGCUCAACCAUAGAACUGCAUCCAAAACUAUCAGGCUAGAGUGUGGGAGAGGAAGAUGGAAUUAGUUGUGUAGGGGUAAAAUCCGUAGAGAUAACUAGGAAUACCAAAAGCGAAGGCAAUCUUCUGGAACACUACUGACGCUGAGGCGCGAAAGCGUGGGGAGCAAACAGGAUUAGAUACCCUGGUAGUCC